Molecule: ribosomal RNA, 449 nt
Filed under: uncultured bacterium
Lineage: Bacteria
Description: partial 16S ribosomal RNA
Rfam family: Bacterial small subunit ribosomal RNA
Source: RNAcentral
AACGAACGCUGGCGGCAGGCUUAACACAUGCAAGUCGAGCGCCGUAGCAAUACGGAGCGGCAGACGGGUGAGUAACGCGUGGGAAUCUACCCAUCACUACGGAACAACUCCGGGAAACUGGAGCUAAUACCGUAUACGUCCUUCGGGAGAAAGAUUUAUCGGUGAUGGAUGAGCCCGCGUUGGAUUAGCUAGUUGGUGGGGUAAUGGCCCACCAAGGCGACGAUCCAUAGCUGGUCUGAGAGGAUGAUCAGCCACACUGGGACUGAGACACGGCCCAGACUCCUACGGGAGGCAGCAGUGGGGAAUAUUGGACAAUGGGCGCAAGCCUGAUCCAGCCAUGCCGCGUGAGUGAUGAAGGCCCUAGGGUUGUAAAGCUCUUUCACCGGUGAAGAUAAUGACGGUAACCGGAGAAGAAGCCCCGGCUAACUUCGUGCCAGCCGCCGCAGUAA